RNAcentral lists this transfer RNA (79 nucleotides) under Blumeria graminis f. sp. tritici. It matches the Rfam family "tRNA". Rfam says of the family: Transfer RNA (tRNA) molecules are approximately 80 nucleotides in length. Their secondary structure includes four short double-helical elements and three loops (D, anti-codon, and T loops). The record is from Rfam by way of RNAcentral. Lineage: Eukaryota; Fungi; Ascomycota; Leotiomycetes; Helotiales; Erysiphaceae. RNAcentral also lists the same sequence under 1 other name.
UCUUUGAUGGUCUAACGGUUAUGAUUUCCGCUUGUCAUUGUGAACGCGGGAGACCGGGGUUCGACUCCCCGUCAGAGAG